Molecule: ribosomal RNA, 440 nt
Filed under: uncultured bacterium
Lineage: Bacteria
Description: partial 16S ribosomal RNA
Rfam family: Bacterial small subunit ribosomal RNA
Source: RNAcentral
CUACGGGUGGCUCCAGUGAGGAAUAUUGCACAAUGGGCGAAAGCCUGAUGCAGCAACGCCGCGUGGGUGAUGAAGGCCUUCGGGUUGUAAAACCCUUUUCUGGGGGACGAGGAAGGACGGUACCUCAGGAAUAAGCCUCGGCUAACUACGUGCCAGCAGCCGCGGUAAAACGUAGGAGGCGAGCGUUAUUCGGAUUUACUGGGCGUAAAGCGCGUGCAGGCGGUUCUGUAAGUUGGAGGUUAAAUCUCUCGGCUCAACUGAGAGGCGUCCUUCAAAACUGCAGGGCUUGAGGAUGGGAGAGGGAAGUGGAAUUCCCGGUGUAGUGGUGGAAUGCGUAGAUAUCGGGAGGAACACCAGUGGCGAAGGCGGCUUCCUGGCCCAUACCUGACGCUAAGACGCGAAAGCGUGGGGAGCGAACGGGAUUAGAUACCCGGGUAGUC